UACGUAGGGGGCAAGCGUUGUCCGGAAUUAUUGGGCGUAAAGAGCGUGUAGGCGGUCCGGUAAGUCAGCUGUGAAAGUCAAGGGCUCAACCCUUGAAAGCCGGUUGAUACUGUCGGGCUAGAGUCCGGAAGAGGCGAGUGGAAUUCCCGGUGUAGCGGUGAAAUGCGCAGAUAUCGGGAGGAACACCAAUGGCGAAGGCAGCUCGCUGGGACGGUACUGACGCUGAGACGCGAAAGCGUGGGGAGCGAACAGG
RNAcentral lists this ribosomal RNA (253 nucleotides) under uncultured bacterium. RNAcentral's name for it is "partial 16S ribosomal RNA". It matches the Rfam family "Bacterial small subunit ribosomal RNA", at positions 524 to 776 of the family's 1533-position model. The record is from RNAcentral.